GGGUAGGAUACUGGUGAAGACGGAACUUACUGCUUUAUCCUCUUCUGGCUUUUCCAAUUAUUCUAUACUGAAUAUGUCCUGCUUAUAUAAUGAGAUUAAAUAUACUAAAUGUUAUUUUUAAACAUUUAAAAAGUGCGAACCCCUGAGAUGAAACACUCACUGGGCAAGCACGGGGCAGGUGGCCGUCCUCCCAGGGCAAAGCCUCAUCACCAGCUUUUGUCCUCUUCCACCGCAAGGACACCAACCAGCUCAAGAGCACCGUCCAGGUCUGUGGGAUUUCGGGGCAGCUAAAUAAAGCUCUUGGCUCUGUGGGGGCUGAGCCCCCCAAACACAAGACUCCCACAGAGAAGUCAAGUCAUGUGACAGCUUUUCGCACUGAGCCAAGGCAGGAGCCAGUGGCCAGUUCUGCCCUGUGACACACACACUCAGCCUCCAGCAGUCACAUGGAUUCCAGCUGCCACCACUUGCCCUCUGUGCCUGACCUGGUACUCUUUCCCUGGCAGGCCUCCUGAGCUGACUUGUCCCUCCAAACUAUGGCUUGGCAGACAAUUAGACUGACAGACUGAGUGCCAACAGGCUUCGACAGCUCCGUCUCAGCUGACCUCGAGGUGGGAACCCUUCCAGGAGUGUCCUGGACACCAUGGAGUGUGCCCCACAGGGAAUUAGGUGCCUUACUGGCCUGAAGUAGAAUCAAACAGAGCUGUUGGCAGUGGGUUCACCACAGCCAACCACAGCCAGCACCCCCAGGAGCAGAGAGCUUGAGUCCUGGGUGUUGAGUGAGGCUAUGGAGGCAGCCAAGGGCAUCAUCCAGCAUAGCUCAUGGGGAGGCUGGAAGUCAGGCAUUGCUGGGCUUUGGAGAGCAGGACAAAGGCAAAUACAGAAAGUGCCAUCGAUGUGAACGCUCCUCAAAUAAAAUUCAACCCCAAACAAAACAAAACAAAGCACCCAACUCCGACACAAUAGUAAUCAACUGGGAACCAUUUUCCAUAAGGGGACGUUUGGCAAUGUAUGGAGACACCUUGUAUUGUCAAAACUGUGGAUGUACCGCUGUCACUAGUGGAGAGAGGCCAAGGAUGCAAUCAUGGAGUGUCCUAGGUUUGUCUGGCCCCAGUAUGGACAGUGCUGUGGUAGUCAAGUUCUGGUCUGAACGUAUUCCUGAAGAAUAUUUGAACAGGGGCCUACAAAUCACCUCAGAGGAAUAACUCAUGGCUGUCUUUACAGACUUGGAACUCUUCAGAGCCUGACUAGUGCCCUCAAAUUCAAGGCCAAAGCUUCAGCACAUGCACGAUUUAGCUUCCAUGAUCUCGGCCUGACUUCUCCUCAGCCUUACCUCUUGUUAGGUUUUGUCCACACCAAACUAUUCACAUGUUCGAUGUGCUCUAUGACUCUUGCUUGUAAGAAAGGGGUUCUGCUUCUGGCCUCGAAUUCUCUCCUCUCCCUUCUGUCUGGCAAAUACCCUGGCUGUUGGGUCAGCUGUGACAUUUCCUCUCCCCUUGUCUCCGUCCCACAUCUUCCACAAAGCUACUCCGCCAUAACAUCAAACAGGGUGCUGGGAUGGUUGUGUGUCAGUCUCUGCCACCAAACUGGGCUCCCCAAGAAUAUUGGUCUCUCUCCCCAGUGCCAAAAGAGACCGUAAACAAAGGGAGCUGCCCACUGGUCACUGAUGUUUCCCUCACCAUGUAGUGAAGGGGCACACCUGGCCCUCGAUGACAGAAGAUAACUUGAGGAACUGAAGAAAAUGUAAAGGAAGAAUGGCGUCAACUGGUCACCCAAAGAAGGCAAGACAGCGAGGGGGACCGCCCAGUAGAUUAAGCACUUGCUCUGAUAUGUGAGGACCAGGGGCCAGAUCCCCAGAAUCCUUUUUUUUUUGUUGUUGUUGUUGGUUUUCUUUUGUUUUUGUUUUUUUUUUUAAGUAGGCCAGAGCAGAGACAAGAGAUCCUCAUGGAAAUCUGGCUAACUAAACUAGCCAGAAUCAGCAAACCCCAGGAUCAGCAAGAAGCCCUGUCUCAGUCAUUAACAGUGGCUGAGAACCUUGGCAUCAUUUGGGAUCAAAAUCACAAAGAACAGAACAGGUAGUAUGACUAAAACAGGCACUUCGAAUAGUUUCCUUGACACAUAUCCAUUAAAGUUUUUACUUUAUAAUUUUAUGACUUCAAUUCUGAUUGUUUAGGAGGCAUAAUUAUUUUUUCUUGUGAAGAAAUAUGCUGUUUUGUCAAUGUGUAUCAUCUCUUAAGACACUAAUGGAAAAGAAAGAGUUAAAUCUCCAACGAAAUAACUAAUAGUGAAAGAGACACUCAGCAUGAGCAUCAACUUCCAGCCCACAUGUACACAUACACACGUUCACUCAUGAGACACACACACACACACACACACACACACACACACACACACACAGAAGGAAAUGGGGACAGGAAAGAGCAUUGAAGGACCAAAGAAGACUCAGAGAGUCAUUUUGUGUGGGAAAUCAAAAGGGAGGUAGACAGUCAAUUCCAGAAGAGGCUCUGUAGGCUCCUGAUACACCUUAGGCUAGACAUGUGGCAUCUAAGAGUGGGGUUUCUGCACAUGCUUGGCAGUGCUUGGCAUGAAGAUCCAAAGAUUUGGUAAUUUACACAAGUACAUGAAGACUCACUUUUUCUCAAAUCACCCACAUAGAGAAGGCAAAGUGGUAAGAUGUCUUUCUAUUUUACGUAUGAAGAUGCCUGGGCUCAAGGAGGUGAAGGAAUUGUCUCCCAGUUCCCAAGUACUGUCCCUUCUUCCCUUGCCCUUUGGGGUACACCAUUCUGUGCCAGCCAGGGCAAUACCAAGCUGCUUGUUUUUACAUUGUUGGUUUUAUUUCAAUGAGCAUCCCCAGGAGACAGUAAAUGAAGAACAAUUCUCCAAUGCAUCCCCUGUAUCCUCGUUUUGAAGGAGCUUUGUUGGGAUGUGGUUAACCCAUAAUGAAACACACAUUGAAAGUGUAUACCUGAGUUAGAGUUGGCUUAUGUGUGAUCCCUAUAACAUCCCCAAAUUAAAAUGAUGUCUUCUCCUCUUCUA
Peromyscus californicus insignis is the source of this 3033-nucleotide long non-coding RNA. RefSeq lists it as uncharacterized. The transcript is spliced from 2 exons. The record is from RefSeq and is a predicted model, not a curated record. NCBI's taxonomy places the organism in Eukaryota, Metazoa, Chordata, Mammalia, Rodentia, Cricetidae.